GACGUAGGGGGCCAGCGUUGUUCGGAAUUACUGGGGGUAAAGGGUUCGUAGGCGGUGUAGCAAGUCGGGAGUGAAAUCUCUGGGCUUAACCCAGAGGCUGCUUCCGAAACUGCUGUGCUUGAGUGUGGGAGAGGCGCGUGGAAUUGCAGGUGUAGCGGUGAAAUGCGUAGAUAUCUGCAGGAACACCCGUGGCGAAAGCGGCGCGCUGGACCACUACUGACGCUGAGGAACGAAAGCUAGGGGAGCAAACAGG
This 253-nucleotide ribosomal RNA is filed under the name uncultured bacterium. Its description in RNAcentral is "partial 16S ribosomal RNA". It matches the Rfam family "Bacterial small subunit ribosomal RNA", at positions 524 to 776 of the family's 1533-position model. The record is from RNAcentral.